RNAcentral lists this ribosomal RNA (266 nucleotides) under uncultured Staphylococcus sp. RNAcentral describes it as "partial 16S ribosomal RNA". It matches the Rfam family "Bacterial small subunit ribosomal RNA", at positions 96 to 354 of the family's 1533-position model. Lineage: Bacteria; Bacillati; Bacillota; Bacilli; Caryophanales; Staphylococcaceae. The record is from RNAcentral.
CGGCGGACGGGUGAGUAACACGUGGGUAACCUACCUAUAAGACUGGGACAACUUCGGGAAACCGGAGCUAAUACCGGAUAAGAUAUCGAACCGCAUGGUUCGAUAGUGAAAGAUGGUUUUGCUAUCACUUAUAGAUGGACCCGCGCCGUAUUAGCUAGUUGGUGAGGUAACGGCUCACCAAGGCAACGAUACGUAGCCGACCUGAGAGGGUGAUCGGCCACACUGGAACUGAGACACGGUCCAGACUCCUACGGGAGGCAGCAGGC